GGCUCCCUGCGCCCUUCCCUCGGUCAUACAUGUCCCAGGGCCUUCGAGCACAUGGGGCAGGAGGGCCGUGCCAAUUAACUUCUCGAGAAAAAUAGCGGUUUGAAAACUCGGAGGACCUUUCCACAUCCUUCUCCCUAACGGAGCUCUCAGAGGGACAGGUACAGAGGUGCCGGAGCAGGCCGCAAAACAACCUGGCAUUUCUUUAACCUCUGGGGGCGGAAAGGCGGGCCGUCUUGGACAGACUAAAUUUUGUCUGCUCAGUGAAAAGCAGAAACCAGCACCAAGGACAAGCAGAAGAAGGGGAGGGAAGGCAAAUGAGGUGUGUGUGCGUGUGCGUGUGCGUGUGUGCUUUUUCCCUCCCUUGUGUUCAUCCCUCCAGGGGAGGCGGUUUGGAGCCAGCUCUUUCUCCGGCCACUUUGACCUCUCCUCCUGCGUGGACGUCACAGGUGCUGUUUCCAACCAGUGACCGCGGGUCGUCUCUGCUUCUCCAGCUACCCGUCAGCAUUUUGGUAUCCGUACCAGUGCCGUGGGUGUAGAAUUAUGACCCGUCACAGAGGAGAGAAGCCUGAGCCAGCCCGAACAUGAGGCACUCUGUAGGACUGAGUUCGCAGCCGCCCCGCCCACCCCAGACCCCUAGUCCCAGAGUGCAGCAGACUCUUGGCUUCGACAGAGUCCCCCUGCCCGCAUCUCCUUAGAGUUGAGUGUUUCUACUCCGCUUCUGAUCUCAUCCGGGGAGACGCUUGCUUUGUGUCUGAGGGAGGCUAUGCCACACAUGCACGCGGAUACAUUUGAACACUUUUCCUAUCACUGCUCUAUAUUUCUCUCUUUGAUUCAGAGGUUGGUUUGAUGAGCCAAACACAGCCAGUGUCAUCUUGACUGGGUAUAUGAUUUCAUGCCAUUUUGAAAAUCCUCUCAUGGUAUUUUUUUUUUUUUGGUGAGAAAGAUUGUUGCUGAGGUAACAUCUGUGCCCAUCUUCCUCCGUUUUGUAUGUGGGACACCAUCUCAGCGUGGCUUGAUGAGUGGCGCAGUUCCACACCCAGGAUCUGAACUGGUAAACCCUGGGCUGCCAAAGCGGAGUGCAAGAACUUAACCACUAUGCCACCGGAUUGGCCCCCCCUCACAAUUUUUUAAUUGAAGUUUUUAUUGAGAUAAUUGUAGAUUCCCAUGCAGUCAUAAGAAAUAAUACAGAGAGAUUCUGGGCACACUCUAUCCAGUUUCUCCCAAUGAUAAGCAUUUUAUACAACUAUAGUAUAACGUUGCAACCAGGAUAUUGAAUCUCUCACAGUUUCUAAGAGAAUUAAAAAAAUUGUUCCUGGGGAAGUUGGAGGGGCAGGGUGCAUGCUCCCCUCCCUUGGGCUUUGCCAGCACGGUACUUGCAGGCCUGGAGUCAGGACCCUGGACACGAAUCAGACCCAGCUCUGUCCUUGCAGCUCCUGGGUGGCCUCCCUGGGACCCAGCUUCCUCACCAGUAAGAUGAGGUUUGGGUGAGAAGGUCUUCAGCAUUUCUUCCAUUUCUACCGCUUUAAGAUUUUAUACAUAGCCCGUGACAGCCCCUGGGGCCAGCCAGCCCCGGGCUUUGUGAGCUGGAUUUGCUCUCACUCUGAGGCUGUGGAAUCACGGAGUGGGACGGCUCCAUUUUGGACACCUUUUCUGUUAUCUUCCCAGCGUCCACACUGCAUUUCCUCAGUGACUCUUCCCAGCCCCCAGCCCCUGGAUUCAGUGGGACAGACCCCCAGCCUGGGCUCGAGGGCUGGGCAUAUGACUGGCUCACUAGGUCUAAUGAGACUUUCCAUUCCUUUUCUGGGUUGGCUCAGGUUUGGGGGCAUGACCCAAGCCAUCCACUGAGAAGCCAUCCAGGGACGUUUGUUAAAAUGACAGGGGCGCCAAGGGUUAGGAUGCAGACCGCGGCUUCAGGCAGUCACCUGGCCACCUCGCUGGAAGAGCUUGGUCCGCGUUGGGUUGAAACAGAGGAAAGCAGAGCUGACAGAUGAAAAGAGAGGGAGGUGGACAACCGGAGUCCAGAAAUGUCAACUGAUCGACGGAAGGUCACACAACUGUUCCCAGUGGCCCUUGGAGUAGGUGGAGCCUCACUGUAUCCACUAAACUCAGGUAAGUAACAGUUAUUUCAUGCAAAAGGAACCAUCUACUGACUUCCCGCAUUUGGGUCUGCGGGCGGCUCUGCUGGGAGGCCGGAUUGAGGGAAAGACUUUGCAGCACCUGCAAACUUGGAAUUAGUGGUGAACUGGAGGGGGUUUCACUGGCUGUGAAGAUCUUGAAGGAGUUUACAGACAUGAUCUCAUUUGUUCUCAGCUGUAAUCGAGUGAAGUCACCUGAUGCACAAGUGUUUUCCUCGUUCCCAUGAGGAAUCCAAGUUAUGGCGGGAGCUGGGCCUCCUCCCCCCACGCCCACAGCCCAGUACAAUGUACAUGAGCUCCUCCCCCCACGCCCACGGCCCAGUACAAUGUACAUGAGCUCCUCCCACCUUCCAGCCCUGCUUGGUGGCCCAUCUUCUCUUCAGUCAUUGUCCAGAGUGACUCACAGACCUCACCCCAGGCCAUUUGUCAGUGAGACGAUUCAUCGAGAGGGAGACGAUAACGUCUAACCAGCUGGUCCAGGCCUCAUGAGCACCGAGUCUCGUAGAGUUCAGUAGGUAGAGUUCAUGGCAAGGGGUUCUCUCACCUCCUGUUCCUCCCUCAGGGGUCUUCUGGAAAGUCUUGGUACUCAUUGGGGCGGGAAUGGUAACCUUAGGACAGAGGCUUUCCACUGGGGAUGUGAGAUAGGCUCACCUGGAGAAGCUGAAAUCUGUCCAUCCGUCCGUUUAUCCAUCAUCUCUAUUUAUUUAGGUAGGUAAUGCGAGCUUAAGGUAAAAAAUUAAAACAGUGCUUCCUCAUCUGUAACAUAAGCAUCAUAAUAAUGUCCACCACAGAGAGUUAUGAUAACUAAAUCAAUUACUCCAUGUAAAGUGCCUGGCGCAUAGUAAGUGAAAAUGUGAUAGCUAUUAUUAUUAACAUAAAUCUUAUACUUCUACCCUCCAACCACCCACUUCCUUUCCCCUUAUAGAUUCCAGAGAUCAUCUACAUAUAUAGAUACGAGUAUAUAAACCCUCCCACCCCCAAGGUGGCAUCACUUGAGCAACUUCUCAGAACUACAGAAAUUUCUAGUGCUGGCCAGGGUUGGGAAUCUCAGGCUUGGAAGCUGAGUGAGACUCUGGGGACUAUCAGGAAGUUAGAGGUUGGAGCCACUAAGGUAAGAAGAAGUGACCACGUUUCCACAAGUGCCUAAGCUGGGAGGACUGCCUGGAAGAGGAAUUAAAUAUGCUCAAUAUGGCUGUGAAAGUCACAAUAACAGUAACAGAUGGAAUUGUGGGACAUCGGCUGGAGCUUAUGCUGUUACCUCAGAGCUCUGGGGAGAGCCGCAGGCUCAGGACGGUGGGCACUCAGAACUCCCAGAGCCCCGAGGGCCGCGAAGUGGCCAGCAGACCAUUCCCCAGGGCCUCCUUAGGGGGCAGAAAUGCUCUGGCGUCUUCACCGGACGUCCCCCUCCCUGGUGCGAGGGGAGAGGUCUGAAUCUGUAGGAGCCGUGAGUCAUCAGCCUCUUGGGGGUGACGCUUCAUUUUCUCUUCCCUCUUCCGUGGGGACGUCACCCUGCAACCCAGCGAGGGGCACCAGGACGACUCCUAUAGAGAAAGGAGGCGAGCGUCUCCCGCUCUGGGGGACACUGUCUGAGCUGAAAGACCUGUGGGCCCUUCUGGGCUGCCAGGGGAAGGGGAAGCUCGGACGGCCCGGCGGGGAUCCGCCCCUCUGGGGGCGCGCAGCCGAGCAGGGGCAGCGCCGAGGCCCCGGGGGCCGGCGCGUCCUGCGUGUCCCCUGGGGGCCGGCGCGGCGCCCUCUCCGGUUCGCUGGGGGCCGCAGGGCCCGGCGCCGCGAGCUUUGACGGGGCCCAAAGGGUUUCCGCAGCCUCGGUGAGGGGAAGAGGGGGCCCCUCUCCCUGUUCAGCCCCCGAGGCGCUGGCGCGAAGAGGGGCGUGCGGCCGGGCCAGCGGCGCUACCCCGGCCCGUGCUCUGGCCACCCCUGCAGGCUGAGCAGCACGAGGGCGGUGCCAGCGCCGGGCCGCGCUCCCGCGGAGGAGCCCGCUUGGCAGGUGGCCGGGGAAGAGCUGUGACAAGGCGGGGACUGAGACAGCCACGGGAGGGGAGCCCGUCAAAGGCGCCCUACUUAGCGGGGUACUGCUGCGGGCCACGUGGCUCAGCCCCACCUCUGAGUUGUCCACUAAGGGUCAAGCUGGGUAUCCAUCCUGCGGCUCCCUCUGUCACCGACUGGGCGCUGCUCCCGGGUGUCCGCCCUCCCCCCUCAUCUGGUGGCUUCACCAGUGGGAGCAAAGUCCUGAUGCCAUGGGUGCUUGUAGGGGGUCCCUUGGUAUGUGCUGGAGGGAGGAGGGCCCAGGGCGGGGCACUGGCAGCCUGUGCCACCCGGCAGGAGGCUUACCUAGGAUAGAGAUUCACGUUUUGAAGUGAGUUGAGUUGGACUGAGCAAGACUGGAUUGUUUCAUCCCUAAAAGUGACCGGGAAGCUGUGGGGCCAGCUGGCAAGGAGGGUAAGGGACAGAAAAGGGAGAUUCAGGAGAGCGUAUGCGAAGGCAGGAACAGGAGAAGGUAAAGCUGCUUCAGGUCACUUGUCGAGUCUGGACUGCGAAAGGCUCUGACGCCCCUGCCGUGGGUGCCCACCAAGUGCUGCGAGGACGGCCAAGUGCUUGUGUCAUCUCGUCCACAGCCACCUCAUGAGGCCGCCUUGCGGUUCCUGCUGUCUCCCGGAUGGGUGGGCUGGGCUCGGGGAGGCUAAGUGACCUUCCCAGAGUCACUCAGCUGCUUGGUGGCCCAGACCCACGCUCUUCACCAUGUGGCAGAGACUCCUGGCUGCCUGUCUACUCUCCACUUCCUCUUUCUUCCUUCAUGGCAGAACUUUGGUUUUCUUUCAGGUGACAGUGUGUCUAGCGACAUAACCACAUUUUCCAGAGUCCUUUGCAGCCAGGGGUGGCCAGUGAGAUACAACCAGAGGCUUUUCGGUGGGACUUCCAAAGAAUCCCCUUGAGAAGCAGACGUACAGGUAGCACGUGCCUUUAUGCCCUUCACUAUUCUUUCUGCUUCUUCCCUGAACCACGGACGUGGUGUUGAGUUCUAGCAGCCAUCUGGGGCAACGAGAUACCUUUGAGAACGGGCACCGCGUACAAAGGACCAUGGAGAAGAAAGUCUGCAGAAGCCUGGGUCUCUGGCGACUUUGCCCUAAGCUGCCCACCUCGUCAGCCUGUACACGCCACGUACUUUCUGGUCUCUGUUACUAGCAGGUGAAGCAGGUUGUAACUGAUACAAUCACUGAGCUCCCGAAUUUUCACAGUAAGGAGCACUUGACACGUUCCAUGUCUGCAGGAAAUAUUGACUGAGGAAAUUCUCUUGGACCAGCCCCGAAUGGAAGGCACUGGGGAGAGGCCCUGAAGCAGCCCUCUUCCUUCUCUCAGAUGCCAGCACGGUCGCCUCAGCCCAGAGCCGCCCUCCCUCCUCAUAACUGUCAAAGCCCUGCCGCCUCGACCAUGGGUGUGACAUCGGCUCCCCCACCUUACCUGGGGACGCCUCGUGUUUCGCUGUGUGACUUUGAAAGGGCUGAAAUUCCUCAAGGACAGCGUCGUGUCUUGUAAAUUGUGUGCUCUACUCUGCAUGCCUACCUCAGGGAUUCUGGGCUAGGCAGGCAAGCCGUCAGAGAUUGUAUUGGCACAAGGAUGUGGAUGUCUCCUAUAGGAAGCGGUGGCCAGGCCUUUGGGGCUGAUAGGAAGAGGCCUGGGACUCUGAUACGGAGACUCCUGAAGUAGGAAGAGGGUCAAAAGCUCUGGUGGGAGGUCUCAAAGUGAGGAAACCAACUUUGAGCGAAAGAAACGGGCCACUUGGGGGAAUUGUUGACUGUUAGUAAGAAUAUUUUUGAGUACCCCAAGAUGAUGUUAUUCAUAUGAUGCUCCCCAUCUCUCUCUCCGUGUGUAUGAAGUUCUAAGAAUUUUGAGCAAGAAGUUGGUGUGUCAGUCAGAACUCUGUGCCUGAGACUGUAAGAUCCACACGUGUUCCUUUCAUUGGCAAAGUUAUGUGGAAGCAUAUAGCAAAGGGGAUUCUGGAAAAAUACAGCUUCCAGCCUUCGAAGGGAGUGAUGAUGGUGCCAAGUUGACUACAGGCAGGCCCGCCCAGGAAUGCAGACUUUUUAGACUGCCCAUCUUUCACUAUUUUGUGCGGUCUUUCACGGAAGAAUUACACGAGAACAUGAUUCUUGAUUCCAAGGAAUCUGAAAUAGUGCAGACCAAACUCAGGUCCACAAGCAUAACUGUGCCUUGAAAAAGCUGGAUGUGACAUGGCGAAUCCUCCCUAGGAAGAAACUUCCUCCUUUCCCAGCUCCCAGGAUGAGAUGACCACAACUCACUGUAGAAAAUCCCCGCAGUUCUGCUGACAAGUGGAGUGCGUCAGAAGGUCCCCGGACAGCUUUGCUGGCUCGUCUGCUUCUGGUGCCACUUCCUGCUCUUCUUCAUGAGAAUUAUUUGUAAGGAGACAGUCACAUUAAAAAAAAAGAUUCGAUAAAA
This is a long non-coding RNA of Equus caballus (horse), 6608 nucleotides long. NCBI's taxonomy places the organism in Eukaryota, Metazoa, Chordata, Mammalia, Perissodactyla, Equidae. The record is from Ensembl.